RNAcentral lists this long non-coding RNA (1293 nucleotides) under Ursus maritimus (polar bear). RNAcentral's name for it is "lncRNA (ENSUMAG00000008242.1)". The record is from RNAcentral. Lineage: Eukaryota; Metazoa; Chordata; Mammalia; Carnivora; Ursidae.
CCUUCCCACACCUCACCCUUCCUCUGACAACCACAUGGAUUCUGACAUGGAUGGAUUUCAGCGUGCCAAGUCGGCCCCUCUGUUCUGCUGUAGGAACACAGGCUUCCUCUUCUUUGGCUGCACUUUAAGGGUCAAGGUCGGAGAGAAAUCCCACUUGGAAGCGGUCUGUGGUAGCAGCAUAAAAGUGGAAGAACCCAGAAAAUUCUGGACCAGAAUACAGUUAUUCACUCAUUCAACAAUCUUGACUAUCAACUAUAUGCUGGGUAAACUCAUAGGCUCUGGGGAUGUUUGAUACCAGCCCUACCCUCAGGAAGCUCAAAGUUGAGUGAGGGAGACAUGCAACUAUAUGGGCAACGAAAUACAAUGGUAAAAGUAGCAGGAUGGGGUGUUUUCUGUCGGGACCAUGCUGAAAGUGAUGGUGGCCUAUAAACACAGUGAAAGAUUCAGUCCUUUAUCCUUCAUUUUAUACAAACAUCAUCUCAGACUAACCCAAGAGUAAACAAGGGAAAGCUUAUCUUUAUAGACAUCUGUCUGUUCCCUCAGACCCUAAGUGUACCCCCACUGAGGUUGGAAGAGAGAACCACAUUGGCUGACAAUGCCUUGUGAUUAGCCCAGACGAGGUCGAGGUGUCCCCAAGCUCACCUGCCCUCCCCCUCUGCUGCCAUUCUCAGGUGGCCCCAUUCUCAGGCACUGUCACUAGCAUAGCUAUGAGUCAUUAUCAUGGGAUGUUUGUCUCUGCUCCCACCCUAGUCUUGCCAGAUCAAACAUACUGGCCACGGAGGCAAUUAGCCAUGGAGCCCUGAGCCUUGUUGACCUUGAAAACUUGGCACAGUCAGUGCAGCAUAUCCAUUAUUGAUUUAUAGGCUGUGUACCACGCAAUUGGCUGGGCUCCAUGCUGGGGCCCAGGUCCCUACUCCUCUCCCCCUGUCCCUCUUUGUUCCCAGCAGUGCUUAUCCAGGUGACAGCUUUCUUGGUCCAGGUGAUCUACCUUUGCGCAAUCCUCUUAACUUAUUUUAAACAUUUAUUUGAUGGCUGCUCUUAGCCAUACUUAGCCAUAUUUAACCAAAUGCUCUUCACAGCAGAAUGCAGAGCUGGGGGUGCAUAGGUGGCUCAGUCAGUUAAGCAUCCGAAUCAGGUCAUGGUCUCAGGGAGGUGGGAUGAAGCUCCGAGUUGGGCUCUGGGCCGGACAUGGAGCCUGCUUGGGAUUUUUUCUUUCUCUUCUCCCUCUGCCCCUCCUACCUGCUCUCUCUCUCUCUGAAAAAUAAGUAAAUAAAUGAAUAAAUGGCAUAUUCA